GAUGAAGAACGUAGCGAAAUGCGAUACGUAAUGUGAAUUGCAAAUUCAGUGAAUCAUCGAGUCUUUGAACGCACAUUGCGCCCCCUGGAAUUCCGGGGGGCAUGCCUGUCCGAGCGUCAUUGCUGCCCUCAAGCACGGCUUGUGUGUUGGGCCCCGUCCUCCGAUCCCGGGGGACGGGCCCGAAAGGCAGCGGCGGCACCGCGUCCGGUCCUCGAGCGUAUGGGGCUUUGUCACCCGCUCUGUAGGCCCGGCCGGCGCUUGCCGAUCAACCCAAAUUUUUAUCCAGGUUGACCUCGGAUCAGGUAGGGAUACCCGCUGAACUUAAGCAUAUCAAUAAGCGGAGGA
This 345-nucleotide unclassified non-coding RNA is filed under the name soil metagenome. Its description in RNAcentral is "partial contains 5.8S ribosomal RNA, internal transcribed spacer 2, and large subunit ribosomal RNA". The stretch from base 1 to 119 matches the Rfam family "5.8S ribosomal RNA", at positions 35 to 154 of the family's 154-position model. The record is from RNAcentral.